GUUUUAAUAAUUUAAAUUAAAAUUUUGGUCUUGUAAAUCAAAAAUGAAGAAUUCCUUCUUAAAACU
Molecule: transfer RNA, 66 nt
Filed under: Pylocheles mortensenii
Lineage: Eukaryota; Metazoa; Arthropoda; Malacostraca; Decapoda; Pylochelidae
Description: tRNA-Thr
Rfam family: tRNA
About the family: Transfer RNA (tRNA) molecules are approximately 80 nucleotides in length.
Source: RNAcentral